This 469-nucleotide ribosomal RNA is filed under the name uncultured Oleispira sp. RNAcentral describes it as "bacterial SSU rRNA". It matches the Rfam family "Bacterial small subunit ribosomal RNA", at positions 30 to 489 of the family's 1533-position model. Lineage: Bacteria; Pseudomonadati; Pseudomonadota; Gammaproteobacteria; Oceanospirillales; Oceanospirillaceae. The record is from RNAcentral.
AUUGAACGCUGGCGGCAGGCUUAACACAUGCAAGUCGAGCGGAAACGAAAGUAGCUUGCUACUAGGCGUCGAGCGGCGGACGGGUGAGUAAUGCUUAGGAAUCUACCAAGUAGUGGGGGAUAGCCAUUGGAAACGAUGAUUAAUACCGCAUAUAUCCUACGGGGGAAAGCAGGGGAUCUUCGGACCUUGCGCUAUUUGAUGAGCCUGAGUGAGAUUAGCUAGUUGGUAAGGUAAAGGCUUACCAAGGCGACGAUCUCUAGCUGGUCUGAGAGGAUGAUCAGCCACACUGGAACUGAGACACGGUCCAGACUCCUACGGGAGGCAGCAGUGGGGAAUAUUGCACAAUGGGGGAAACCCUGAUGCAGCCAUGCCGCGUGUAUGAAGAAGGCCUUCGGGUUGUAAAGUACUUUCAGUCGUGAGGAAGGGUAUGUAGUUAAUAGCUGCAUGCCUUGACGUAGCGACAGAAGAA